GGCCUGAUGGUCUAGUCGUAUGAUUCCUGCUUUGGGUAUUGCACACAUUGCAGGAGGUCCCGGGUUCAAAUCCCGGUCAGGCCC
Molecule: transfer RNA, 84 nt
Filed under: Coniochaeta ligniaria NRRL 30616
Lineage: Eukaryota; Fungi; Ascomycota; Sordariomycetes; Coniochaetales; Coniochaetaceae
Description: tRNA-Pro
Rfam family: tRNA
About the family: Transfer RNA (tRNA) molecules are approximately 80 nucleotides in length. Their secondary structure includes four short double-helical elements and three loops (D, anti-codon, and T loops). Further hydrogen bonds mediate the characteristic L-shaped molecular structure. tRNAs have two regions of fundamental functional importance: the anti-codon, which is responsible for specific mRNA codon recognition, and the 3' end, to which the tRNAs corresponding amino acid is attached (by aminoacyl-tRNA synthetases). tRNAs cope with the degeneracy of the genetic code in two manners: having more than one tRNA (with a specific anti-codon) for a particular amino acid; and 'wobble' base-pairing, i.e. permitting non-standard base-pairing at the 3rd anti-codon position.
Source: RNAcentral